RNAcentral lists this ribosomal RNA (429 nucleotides) under bacterium. Its description in RNAcentral is "partial 16S ribosomal RNA". It matches the Rfam family "Bacterial small subunit ribosomal RNA", at positions 355 to 776 of the family's 1533-position model. The record is from RNAcentral.
UAGGGAAUCUUCCACAAUGGACGCAAGUCUGAUGGAGCAACGCCGCGUGAGUGAAGAAGGUUUUCGGAUCGUAAAGCUCUGUUGUUGGUGAAGAAGGAUAGAGGCAGUAACUGGUCUUUAUUUGACGGUAAUCAACCAGAAAGUCACGGCUAACUACGUGCCAGCAGCCGCGGUAAUACGUAGGUGGCAAGCGUUGUCCGGAUUUAUUGGGCGUAAAGCGAGCGCAGGCGGAAUGAUAAGUCUGAUGUGAAAGCCCACGGCUCAACCGUGGAACUGCAUCGGAAACUGUCAUUCUUGAGUGCAGAAGAGGAGAGUGGAAUUCCAUGUGUAGCGAUGGAAUGCGUAGAUAUAUGGAAGAACACCAGUGGCGAAGGCGGCUCUCUGGUCUGCAACUGACGCUGAGGCUCGAAAGCAUGGGUAGCGAACAGG